This 312-nucleotide ribosomal RNA is filed under the name Triticum aestivum (bread wheat). RNAcentral's name for it is "partial small subunit ribosomal RNA". Lineage: Eukaryota; Viridiplantae; Streptophyta; Magnoliopsida; Poales; Poaceae. The record is from RNAcentral.
AUGGAUGACACCUUUAAGGCAAUUUUUUGGAACUUACGUGGUCUCAACAACUGGGCGAAAUGUGCGGCUGUUCGCUCUGUAAUCUCUUCGGCUUCCCCUUGUAUCAUUUGCAUCCAGGAAUCUAAACUAGCUUUGGUCUCGCCUGCGCUUGUAUGUGAAACUCUCGGCCCCGCUUUUGAUGGCUUCUUCUGGUUGCCCACGGAUGGCACCCACGGUGGCAUCAUUCUGGCUUGGAACAGUGCGAUGAUCUCCCUAGCUAACCCAAUCAUUGGCGAUCACCAUGUCUCGGCUGUCGUGUCUCCCACCGUCGGA